Molecule: ribosomal RNA, 253 nt
Filed under: uncultured bacterium
Lineage: Bacteria
Description: partial 16S ribosomal RNA
Rfam family: Bacterial small subunit ribosomal RNA
Source: RNAcentral
UACGUAGGUCCCGACCGUUAAUCGGAAUUACUGGGCGUAAAGCGUGCGCAGGCGGUCUCCAAAGUCAGCUGUGAAAUCCCCGGGCUCAACCUUGGAACUGCGCUUGUGACUGCGAGGCUAGAGUGCGGAAGAGGGAGGUGGAAUUCCACGUGUAGCAGUGAAAUGCGUAGAGAUGUGGAGGAACACCGAUGGCGAAGGCAGCCUCCUGGGCCAGCACUGACGCUCAUGCACGAAAGCGUGGGGAGCAAACAGG